AACGCAACUGGCGCCGGUUUACCGGCAUGCCUGUUUCAGUGUGCUAGGAGAGUAAACUAUCAUUAUAAAAUAUAAUGCGAUUGAGGUACAUUUAUGUUCUUCUUUCGUUAAAUAUGAAGGUGUGAAAGAUGAGUAAUCUCUCACACUGGCAAACGAAGUAGUCACGCUUGUUCGUGAUCUCGUUUAACCAGUGCUAAAGGUUUUUGCUUAGCUAUAAAUCACAUCUAAUCAAUAAAAAAUCUCAAAAUUUGACAACGGAAACAAGACAGGGAUACCCGCCGAACUUAG
RNAcentral lists this unclassified non-coding RNA (288 nucleotides) under uncultured fungus. RNAcentral describes it as "partial contains 5.8S rRNA and ITS2". The record is from RNAcentral. Lineage: Eukaryota; Fungi.